UUCACGUUGGGUUCUGUAAUUGGUCUCGACUUUGUAAAUGUCCAGUGGCUAAAGGACAAAAACAAGCAUUAACCCACAAACUUUAACACCCACAAAAAAAGAGGAAAAAUGGUCAUCUCUUUCCUCCAUUCAAAUCGAAGCAUGAAGCACAACAUCCCUUUCAUCUUCUCCAAUGCUUUGAUUAAAAGCCUUGCCCACGAACAAGAGACCAUGACACUGAAUCCGGACACGCCAAUAACAGAGAUGACUGAUUCACGACGGUGAUGUGGAAGAAUACCGACUAGUGACUUUCGCCGUUGACCCACAAACAAUCCCAGUGUUUUUGAGUUGCGAUGAGGUAUGAAUCAGAGUAUUUCCUUGCAUGUCAAAUUGAUUAGCUGAAAUUAGGAGAUUUGGUAGAAAAAGAAUAAUGGGUCUCGAAAAUUUUUUGACAAUGUUUCUGUUGCUUCCACUUUUUUCCAUCGAUUAGUGAUAGGUGAAUGAUUGCUGCAAAUGCAUGUUCACUUCUGAUUUUUUAUAUUGUCGUAUGGUUGAUUGAAAAUGAAUUUGAAUUUUUUUUAUUUGUUUAAGGUACUUCUACUGAUUAUUGAGCGUGGAUUCUGCUAAUUUUUGUUAAAUUAAAGAUGGGAUUGUUUUUUAGGAGACUUGCAAAACCUUCUCCGCAAUAGAUUUGGCUUCUGGCAUGCCUACUUGGGCGGAGAUAAUUGCUUAUAUGGUCAUUGCUGCCUAUAUUAGUCAGGAAUAUUGAUUAGGCAAUGUACUGGGGUAGAGAUCGAUGGGAUUUUAGAAAAUUGGUUGUAGAUGCAGCCUGAUUGUGGUCUCAAAUAGUGUGAUCUGUCAAUCAAAUGUUAUCCUCACUCCUGGAAAAUAGUAAUACUUUAGUCAAAUCUUCUAGUAAUGUAGCUUCCAAAUAUUGAGAUCAGUCAUUUAUGGAUUGGAGGACAUAAGCUACUUUUAAAAGGUCUGUAGAAACUGAGAUAAGGUGUUUGGGUCAUUGGCCUUGUCUUUCUCUGCACUAUAGAGGUGUAUAGAACUGAGAUAAGAAGGUGUGUUCAGUCACUAGCCUAGUCUUUUCAUAUGCUAUACUAAACCAACUGUGCACUGAUGUGAUUGUUCUUCCUCACACUUUCAAAAAUUUAUCAACAAGGAUACUAAGCUAGUUGCAGGCCAGUAGGGAGUUAAAUUGUAAUAAACAGCGAGUUAAAAUGGAAGAGAAAAAGUAUUUGUAGUGCAAGCAAUAAGGGAAGUAUUAUGAAGUUCCAGUAAAUUUAUAAAAUAGUUAAACCAAAUAACAUACAAUGAACUGAAAAUAUGGAAUUUACAGUCUUACAUAAUGUUGCCCAGUCUCAUCAAGAAUCCCAGCUACAGCAGAUGCACAAUUUAGUCCCUUCAUGAUGUUUUUACCUUUAGAUCUGUUGAGGAUACUUGAUUUUAUUUUUUAUUUUGAUCAUGGUAUUUAUAUGUAUUGGGUUGAAGAAAUUGUCAUGGUUUGCUGCAUUCUUUCUUGCUGGAGCAGUGAGUUAAACAAUGGGGUGUGCUUGAGUGCUUCAUUUUAGUUGGGUAUCUAUUAUAAUUCAAGCAAAAUAAGCCUCAACAGAGAAGAUACAUAAACGUCUCACUAGUUCAUGCUCUGAAACGAUAAUGCAAUGGUUAUUGAGUGUGAAAAAGUAGAUUGAUUUAGGACAUAGAAAUUGUUUUAACCUCAUGAUUAGCAUUAAUGUGUUGUCAUGUAAGUUGUAGUUAAAUUAAAGAUGGAAUUGCAUAUUGAGGAUAGAUUGAUGUCAAGAAUUUGAUUUCGUCAUAUUCUCUUGAUCUCGCAUGAUUGUUUAAAUGAUUGGUAGUUGAGGUGUUUAAAUGCUUUUAAUUGUUACUUGCCCUACAUGUUGGUGUAUUGAAUGCAUAUGUAUUUUGGUUGUUGAGUUUUACUCUCAUAAACGAUUAUGUUGUGGUAUUAGCAUUAAAGAAGCUGUAACAUGGAGUAUAUUAAUGAAUUUUAAAUGAAAUCAUUUCACAUUGUUUUCUUUUUCAUUUAUUAUUUUAUACUGACCAUAUGUAAUGGCGUUAACUUUAC
Molecule: long non-coding RNA, 2071 nt
Filed under: Citrus x clementina
Lineage: Eukaryota; Viridiplantae; Streptophyta; Magnoliopsida; Sapindales; Rutaceae
Description: Citrus clementina (C. clementina) long non-coding RNA (CCLE_LNC004424)
Source: RNAcentral